This is a long non-coding RNA of Mastomys coucha (southern multimammate mouse), 890 nucleotides long. RefSeq lists it as uncharacterized. The transcript has 2 exons. The record is from RefSeq and is a predicted model, not a curated record. Lineage: Eukaryota; Metazoa; Chordata; Mammalia; Rodentia; Muridae.
UACCUAACUAGUUCCCUCUGCAGGAAUAAAGAAGAAACAAUUUAGUCCAAGAUAUGGUGAGCUGCAAUUUUCCUCUCAGGUUCCAGCAUGCAGUCUGCCCUCACUAACAGGGGUGCUAUCACAGCAGAGUGGAUUGAGCCACAGACACAUCUACUCAAACAUACAGCCCAACUGUGUGACCACACUUACCAAAACACACCUGCCCGGCUCAAGGCUCCAGAGGGAAUUCUCAGUGUUGAUCUUGUGAGUGAGCUUCCCUUCCAUGAGGACACGCUCUCCAUUCUCUUCCAACAUGGCCACUCGGAUGGAACCACUGCUAAGGGCCACAGAGACCUGAGAACACACCAGGAGAAAAAUUAUCUUGCUUGUAAAGGUGACAGCUAUGAUAUUCCAGCUGUGCAUAAUUGGGCUCACCAAGCAUCUCUGUGAAGGAAGCCAUUCCAACCUAGUUCACACCAAGCAACCUGAAUCUAUCAACUCCCUUAGGUGAACGCAGCAGAAAAUUUUCAUCAUUUUGGUGCAUUUUCCUAAGGGAGCGUCAACCACAACACUUGACUUUCUACCCAUUUCCCCUCUGUAGUGACAGAGGCUGGCUCUCAUGCUUCGAGGUAAGCAGAAGGCACAGGAGUCGGGUGCUUCCUUUCAUCUCCCCUGUGACUACCUAGUCUGCCUCAGCUCAAGGUUCUGGAGGGGAUUCUCACUUCCUUUCCAGGAGGAUCUCCUCUCUAGUCUCCUCUCGAAUGACCACACAGCCAGCCACUGGCAAGAGCCCUCUCUCUGACCAAAACUUUCUGGUAAAAGACAAAUGUGGUUGGCCUCUUCUUUCCCUGAGCUGCUACAAAGAGUGUGACCAUAGCUUGGUCUUUGUCCAGUAAACCCACUUCCUUCAG